This 1248-nucleotide long non-coding RNA is filed under the name Mytilus galloprovincialis (Mediterranean mussel). Lineage: Eukaryota; Metazoa; Mollusca; Bivalvia; Mytilida; Mytilidae. The record is from RNAcentral.
AAAAGUUGAACCAAUCACUUUCAUAGAAGUAUUUCAUUGGAUAUGUAACAGUUUGACGAACACUAAUUUUGAUCAUUGAGAAAUUUAAUAUUUCCUGAACAAUAGAAUGAUUAAAACGUUUAGCUGAUUUUACAGAGUUGUCUCCCUGAAGUGUUAGGUACCACCUUAAACUUAUAUGACGAAAAUAGAAAUGUAUAAUGUGGUGCUUAUGUAACACUUUUCUGCAUUAACUUUGAACAGGAACUUGCAAACUGUCAGUAUUUGUAUAACUUUGAACAGGAACUUGCAAACUGUCAGUAUUUGUAUAACUUGCUCAUUAGAUUACUGUGGAUUCAACAAUCCUUGGAUCAAGGAAAACUAACAAUUUUCGUAGAUCAUGGAAAACUAACAAUUUUCGUGGAUCAAGGAAAACUAAUACUUUCGUGGAUAUUUAGUUUAGUGGUUUUGCUAAUGUCUGCAUAGAAGUCUCCUGAAAAUUUGUAAUUCGUUUAACAUUAAAAUUCGUGGUUCACCUGUACCCACGAAAUCCACGAAAAUUGAUAUCCAACGAAAAUUAAUGAAUCCACAGUAUAUGAUUGAUUACUUUUUACUUUAAGCUAAAACCUGAUUAAGUUUCUAACACAUGUGUAAAGAUAUUAUAAAAAAUAAUGGAAUACUGAAUUGAAAGCAUUUCAUUAUGAACUGGGUUGUAUUUAUGAAAACGAGGUUCUCGUAUGCAUUCUGAAUUAAAUAUAGACCUUGUAUCCAUUACUUGUGUCAAGUUAUAUUUUAAUAGAGCUGCUAAAUAAUCUUCAAAUGAGGGGAUCUAAAUAUUUCCCAAUUUUGAUUUUCAAAUGAAACAAAUGGAUAAAAAAAUAAUCAUAUUCAUAUAAAGAGUGAUAUUAUAAUCUGAUUAUUUCCUAAACAAAUUACUCUAGACGACUAAAAAUUUAGUAUCUUUUGAAAGUUAUUAAUUGCAAAAUGAUUAAUUAACCCUUUUCUUCAAUUCAUCUGAAUAUUUGUGAAAAUUUUGUAAAGAUUGAUAGACACUAUUAUAGUUAUAUUAAUACAUAAAAAGGUUCAUUUAUCUUCCCAGGUUUUUCUGUUGAACAUGCAUUGCAAACAUGUUGUAGUUGUUAUCUAGUACAUGCAUAUACAUUUAUUUAUUCACAUCAUAGUUUUUUUUUCUGAAAAUGAGGUGAAGUUUGUUAUUUUUGCUCAUUAUUUGAAUAUGAAUUUGAAUAUAUUGUAAUAUUCACUCUGUAGGGA